GACAGAGGGUGCAACCGUUGUUCGGAAUUACUGGGCGUAAAGCGCGUGUAGGCGGCUUGGCAAGUCGGGUGUGAAAGCCCUGGGCUCAACCUAGGAAGUGCACUCGAAACUGCCUCGCUUGAAUGCCGGAGAGGAAAGCGGAAUUCUCGGUGUAGAGGUGAAAUUCGUAGAUAUCGAGAGGAACACCGGUGGCGAAGGCGGCUUUCUGGACGGUGAUUGACGCUGAGACGCGAAAGCGUGGGGAGCAAACAGG
This 253-nucleotide ribosomal RNA is filed under the name uncultured bacterium. RNAcentral's name for it is "partial 16S ribosomal RNA". It matches the Rfam family "Bacterial small subunit ribosomal RNA", at positions 524 to 776 of the family's 1533-position model. The record is from RNAcentral.